UGUAGGCUGCGUAACGAGUUAACUGAACCUUCGGGGGACGUUAACGGCGUCGAAGCGGCGGACGGGUGAGUAAUGCCUGGGAAAUUGCCCUGAUGUGGGGGAUAACCAUUGGAAACGAUGGCUAAUACCGCAUAAUAGCUUCGGCUCAAAGAGGGGGACCUUCGGGCCUCUCGCGUCAGGAUAUGCCCAGGUGGGAUUAGCUAGUUGGUGAGGUAAUGGCUCACCAAGGCGACGAUCCCUAGCUGGUCUGAGAGGAUGAUCAGCCACACUGGAACUGAGACACGGUCCAGACUCCUACGGGAGGCAGCAGUGGGGAAUAUUGCACAAUGGGCGCAAGCCUGAUGCAGCCAUGCCGCGUGUAUGAAGAAGGCCUUCGGGUUGUAAAGUACUUUCAGCAGUGAGGAAGGCGUGUACGUUAAUAGCGUGCUCGUUUGACGUUAGCUGCAGAAGAAGCACCGGCUAACUCCGUGCCAGCAGCCGCGGUAAUACGGAGGGUGCGAGCGUUAAUCGGAAUUACUGGGCGUAAAGCGCAUGCAGGUGGUUCGUUAAGUCAGAUGUGAAAGCCCGGGGCUCAACCUCGGAAUUGCAUUUGAAACUGUCGGACUAGAGUACUGUAGAGGGGGGUAGAAUUUCAGGUGUAGCGGUGAAAUGCGUAGAGAUCUGAAGGAAUACCGGUGGCGAAGGCGGCCCCCUGGACAGAUACUGACACUCAGAUGCGAAAGCGUGGGGAGCAAACAGGAUUAGAUACCCUGGUAGUCCACGCCGUAAACGAUGUCUACUUGGAGGUUGUGGCCUUGAGCCGUGGCUUUCGGAGCUAACGCGUUAAGUAGACCGCCUGGGGAGUACGGUCGCAAGAUUAAAACUCAAAUGAAUUGACGGGGGCCCGCACAAGCGGUGGAGCAUGUGGUUUAAUUCGAUGCAACGCGAAGAACCUUACCUACUCUUGACAUCCAGAGAAUUUUCCAGAGAUGGAUUAGUGCCUUCGGGAACUCUGAGACAGGUGCUGCAUGGCUGUCGUCAGCUCGUGUUGUGAAAUGUUGGGUUAAGUCCCGCAACGAGCCGCAACCCUUAUCCUUGUUUGCCAGCGAGGUAAUGUCGGGAAACUCCAGGGCAGACUGCCGGUGAUAAACCUGGAGGAAAGGUGGUGGACGACGUCAAGUCCAUUCAUGGCCCUUACGAGAUAGGGCUACCACACGUGCCUACAAUGGCGCAUACAGAGGGCAGGCCAACUUGCGAAAGUGAGCGAAUCCCAAAAAGUGGCGUAGCGUAUGUCCGCGAUUGGGAAGGUCUGCAACUCGACUCCAUGAAGUCGGAAUCGCUAGUAAUCGUAGAUCAGAAUGCUACAGGUGAAUACGUAGACCAAUGG
This 1366-nucleotide ribosomal RNA is filed under the name Vibrio ponticus. RNAcentral describes it as "bacterial SSU rRNA". It matches the Rfam family "Bacterial small subunit ribosomal RNA", at positions 41 to 1377 of the family's 1533-position model. The record is from RNAcentral. Lineage: Bacteria; Pseudomonadati; Pseudomonadota; Gammaproteobacteria; Vibrionales; Vibrionaceae.